RNAcentral lists this unclassified non-coding RNA (628 nucleotides) under Hevea brasiliensis (rubber tree). The record is from RNAcentral. Lineage: Eukaryota; Viridiplantae; Streptophyta; Magnoliopsida; Malpighiales; Euphorbiaceae.
GCGGCUGCUUCCAUCGUCUUCCGUCGUUACAACCCGGGAUAUUCUAAUGAGCUCCUUAAUCAUGCACAUCAGCUGUUCGAGUUUGCUGAUAAGUAUAGGGGCAAAUAUGAUAGCAGUAUUACUGUCGCCCAGAAGUACUACCGAUCUGUCAGUGGAUACGCGGAUGAAUUACUAUGGGGAGCUGCAUGGUUAUACAAGGCAUCAAACAAUCAAUUUUACUUGAAUUAUUUGGGAAGAAAUGGUGAUGCUCUUGGUGGAACUGGUUGGUCUAUGACUGAAUUUGGUUGGGAUGUCAAGUAUGCUGGUGUCCAAACACUUGUUGCUCAGUUCUUGAUGUCUGGUAAGGCUGGUCAUAAUGCACCUGUAUUUGAGAAGUACCAGCAGAAAGCAGAGAACUUUAUGUGUUCAAUGCUUGGAAAGGGUAAUAGAAAUACCCAGAAAACUCCUGGAGGUCUCAUCUAUAGGCAAAGAUGGAACAAUAUGCAGUUUGUUACUAGUGCUGCAUUCCUUGCCACUACUUAUUCUGACUAUUUGGCUUCUGCUGGCAAAUAUCUCAAGUGUUCUUCCGGUUUUGUUUCUCCGAAUGAGCUCCUCUCAUUCGCUAAGUCACAGGUGGACUACAUUCUUG